RNAcentral lists this ribosomal RNA (397 nucleotides) under uncultured bacterium. Its description in RNAcentral is "partial 16S ribosomal RNA". It matches the Rfam family "Bacterial small subunit ribosomal RNA", at positions 523 to 918 of the family's 1533-position model. The record is from RNAcentral.
AUACGUAGGGGGCGAGCGUUGUCCGGAAUGAUUGGGCAUAAAGGGCGCGUAGGCGGCCCGGUAAGUCUGGAGUGAAAGUCCUGUUUUUGAGAUGGGAAUUGCUUUGGAUACUGUCGGGCUUGAGUGCAGGAGAGGUAAGUGGAAUUCCCAGUGUAGCGGUGAAAUGCGUAGAGAUUGGGAGGAACACCAGUGGCGAAGGCGACUUACUGGACUGUAACUGACGCUGAGGCGCGAAAGUGUGGGGAGCAAACAGGAUUAGGUACCCUGGUAGUCCACACUGUAAACGAUGAAUGCUAGGUGUAGGGGGUAUCGACCCCUUCUGUGCCGCAGUCAACACAAUAAGCAUUCCGCCUGGGGAGUACGGCCGCAAGGUUGAAACUCAAAGGAAUUGACGGGG